Long non-coding RNA from Carcharodon carcharias (great white shark), 161 nucleotides. RefSeq lists it as uncharacterized. Lineage: Eukaryota; Metazoa; Chordata; Chondrichthyes; Lamniformes; Lamnidae. The record is from RefSeq and is a predicted model, not a curated record. The transcript is spliced from 3 exons.
UUUAGCUGUGACUGGCAGCACAAAUGAUGCCGCCCUCCUUCCUCGGUUUGGUCCUAUUCCAGCUUUUGAACUGCGGACCAGGGAACAGUCAGGCUCCUGCAUCAGAGAAAGUGAGGCUGAGACUGGUGAAUGGGGGCAGUCGUUGCGCUGGAAGAGUGGAG